GCAUUGGUGGUUCAGUGGAAGAAUUCUCACCUUUUUUUUAUGCAGGAGACCUGGGUUUAAUUCCCAGCCAAUGCA
This 75-nucleotide transfer RNA is filed under the name Loxodonta africana (African savanna elephant). It matches the Rfam family "tRNA". Rfam says of the family: Transfer RNA (tRNA) molecules are approximately 80 nucleotides in length. Their secondary structure includes four short double-helical elements and three loops (D, anti-codon, and T loops). The record is from Rfam by way of RNAcentral. Lineage: Eukaryota; Metazoa; Chordata; Mammalia; Proboscidea; Elephantidae.